Molecule: ribosomal RNA, 399 nt
Filed under: uncultured bacterium
Lineage: Bacteria
Description: bacterial SSU rRNA
Rfam family: Bacterial small subunit ribosomal RNA
Source: RNAcentral
GAAUCUUGGACAAUGGGGGCAACCCUGAUCCAGCCAUGCCGCGUGAGCGAUGAAGGCCUUAGGGUUGUAAAGCUCUUUCAGCGGGGAAGAUAAUGACGGUACCCGCAGAAGAAGCCCCGGCUAACUCCGUGCCAGCAGCCGCGGUAAUACGGAGGGGGCUAGCGUUGUUCGGAAUUACUGGGCGUAAAGCGCACGUAGGCGGAUGCUUAAGUCAGGGGUGAAAUCCCGGGGCUCAACCCCGGAACUGCCUUUGAUACUGGGUGUCUGGAGGUCGAGAGAGGUGAGUGGAAUUCCGAGUGUAGAGGUGAAAUUCGUAGAUAUUCGGAGGAACACCAGUGGCGAAGGCGGCUCACUGGCUCGAUACUGACGCUGAGGUGCGAAAGCGUGGGGAGCAAACAG